CUGGACUGGGAGAGGACCCUGCACCCAGUUCUCCUGCUUGCUUUCUCUGUCCCAAUCAACCGCACUUUCCCUAAGGACCUGUAGGGUCCUCUCCUCCCUGGUCCCAGCUCACCUGCUGGACCUCCCUGACCCCUCUCAUCUGCCCUCCCUGCCUUUCCGGAGACCCCUCUUCUGCCCAGGGCCCUCCAGCUCUUGCCACCACCCACUGCAGACCGCGACUGCUCUACUCCACACUGCCUUCUCUACAGAGUCCCUGCUGUCCCUCUACCAUGGUCCCUUCUGUCACCUGCCUGUCCUCACCACCAUGCAAAUCAAACACAGCUCCCCACACCCCACCUCUAAUUUCUUGCUGACCUGUGCUCCUUCCCUGCUCUGCAGCCACCUCUGCCCAUCAAUGUCCCCUUCACAGUGGGCUGUGGGCCGCGUGGACACUCUUUCCACUAAGAAGGUCCCUGUGCCCUGAUCUCCCCCAGCAUCUCAGGGCAGCUGAGAUGGCUUUCCCUCCUACCUCCCAGCCACAGCCACCCUCACUGAUGUGAUGCAGCCCAAGUCAGUAACCUGGAUGCAACCUGGAGGCGGUGGGGGACAAGGACAUGGUCCCUCAGAGGCCGCGGGGUCAGGAGAGAGAAGGCUUUUGUCUCCUGGGGUGAGUGGCAGGGAUUCCAAGAUACUUAGGGGCACUGCAUGUGAAUGGGAGCCCGGAUUGCACAAGACAGAAGAGAACCGGGCGGGGCUGCUGCAGGGGACGCCACGCCAGGGCAGGCGCGGGCGGGGCCGGGACGGUUCCACGCGAGGCGCCCUGCCUGUCUCCUCCAGUCCAGGAGCUGUGGCUGCAGAACCAGCGGGCCGGCUACCCGGGUCUCUGCUCCAUCCCCAGGGUCUCAGUCAGAAAUUCCUUAGAUUCACAGCACAUUUUACAAGCUGGGUGCAGUGGACCUGUGAGCACUCUGGAGGCUGAGGCAGGAGCAUCACCACGGGUCUAGGGCAGGCUCUGCUCCAUGAUGAGUUCAAAGCCAGCCUAGAACACAUGGGAAGACUUUGUUUCAAGAAACUACCACCAACGAUUUGUUUCUUUAUG
This 1078-nucleotide long non-coding RNA is filed under the name Cavia porcellus (domestic guinea pig). RNAcentral's name for it is "lncRNA (ENSCPOG00000039262.1)". Lineage: Eukaryota; Metazoa; Chordata; Mammalia; Rodentia; Caviidae. The record is from RNAcentral.